CUGCCCAUAGCUCAGUUGGAUAGAGCAUCGGCCUUCUAAGCCGACGGUCGGGAGUUCGAAUCUCUCUGGGCAGGCCA
This 77-nucleotide transfer RNA is filed under the name Ralstonia solanacearum. RNAcentral's name for it is "tRNA-Arg". It matches the Rfam family "tRNA". Rfam says of the family: Transfer RNA (tRNA) molecules are approximately 80 nucleotides in length. Their secondary structure includes four short double-helical elements and three loops (D, anti-codon, and T loops). Lineage: Bacteria; Pseudomonadati; Pseudomonadota; Betaproteobacteria; Burkholderiales; Burkholderiaceae. The record is from RNAcentral. RNAcentral also lists the same sequence under 1 other name.